GACGUAGGGCGCGAGCGUUGCCCGGAUUUAUUGGGCGUAAAGAGCUCGUAGGCGGCUUGUCGCGUCGUCCGUGAAAACCCACGGCUUAACUGUGGGCUUGCGGUCGAUACGGGCAGGCUGGAGUUCGGUAGGGGAGACUGGAAUACUUGGUGUAGCAGUGAAAUGCGUAGAUAUCAAGUGGAACACCAGUGGCGAAGGCGAGUCUCUGGACAUUUCCUGACGCUGAGGCACGAAAGCCAGGGGAGCAAACGGG
This 253-nucleotide ribosomal RNA is filed under the name uncultured bacterium. RNAcentral's name for it is "partial 16S ribosomal RNA". It matches the Rfam family "Bacterial small subunit ribosomal RNA", at positions 524 to 776 of the family's 1533-position model. The record is from RNAcentral.